This 435-nucleotide ribosomal RNA is filed under the name uncultured bacterium. RNAcentral's name for it is "partial 16S ribosomal RNA". It matches the Rfam family "Bacterial small subunit ribosomal RNA", at positions 28 to 507 of the family's 1533-position model. The record is from RNAcentral.
GGCGAACGCUGGCGGCAGGCUUAACACAUGCAAGUCGAACGGGCUUCUUCGGAAGUCAGUGGCAGACGGGUGAGUAACACGUGGGAACGUGCCCUUCGGUUCGGAAUAACUCAGGGAAACUUGAGCUAAUACCGGAUACGCCCUUUUGGGGAAAGGUUGACUGCCGAAGGAUCGGCCCGCGUCUGAUUAGCUUGUUGGGGGGGUAACGGCCUACCAAGGCGACGAUCAGUAGCUGGUCUGAGAGGAUGAUCAGCCACACUGGGACUGAGACACGGCCCAGACUCCUACGGGAGGCAGCAGUGGGGAAUAUUGGACAAUGGGCGCAAGCCUGAUCCAGCCAUGCCGCGUGAGUGAUGAAGGCCUUAGGGUUGUAAAGCUCUUUUGUCCGGGACGAUAAUGACGGUACCGGAAGAAUAAGCCCCGGCUAACUUCGUG